ACGCUCGACACCUACGGGAGGCGGCAGUGGGGAAUAUUGCACAAUGGGGGAAACCCUGAUGCAGCGACGCCGCGUGGAGGAAGAAGGUCUUCGGAUUGUAAACUCCUGUUGUUGGGGAAAAAGAGGAUGGUACCCAACAAGGAAGUGACGGCUAACUACGUGCCAGCAGCAGCGGUAAUCUGAGCGGGCUGGCAAGGC
RNAcentral lists this ribosomal RNA (198 nucleotides) under uncultured bacterium. RNAcentral describes it as "partial 16S ribosomal RNA". It matches the Rfam family "Bacterial small subunit ribosomal RNA", at positions 328 to 539 of the family's 1533-position model. The record is from RNAcentral.